CAAUAGCGUAUAUUUAAGUUGCUGCAGUUAAAAAGCUCGUAGUUGGAUUUCGGGUGGGAAUGGCCGGUCCGCCGUUUCGGUGUGCACUUGCUACGCCCACUUUGCUGUCGGGGACGUGCUCUUGAGUUCACGCUCGGGACACGGAGUCGGCGAGGUUACUUUGAGUAAAUUAGAGUGUUCAAAGCAGGCCUACGCUCUGAAUACAUUAGCAUGGAAUAACACGAUAGGACUCUGGCCUAUCUUGUUGGUCUGUAGGACCGGAGUAAUGAUUAAGAGGGACAGUCGGGGGCAUUCGUAUUUCAUUGUCAGAGGUGAAAUUCUUGGAUUUAUGAAAGACGAACUACUGCGAAAGCAUUUGCCAAGGAUGUUUUCAUUAA
Molecule: ribosomal RNA, 377 nt
Filed under: uncultured eukaryote
Lineage: Eukaryota
Description: partial 18S ribosomal RNA
Rfam family: Eukaryotic small subunit ribosomal RNA
Source: RNAcentral